RNAcentral lists this long non-coding RNA (668 nucleotides) under Homo sapiens (human). Its description in RNAcentral is "PREDICTED lncRNA (TCONS_00145679)". Lineage: Eukaryota; Metazoa; Chordata; Mammalia; Primates; Hominidae. The record is from RNAcentral.
AGUUUUUCCCUUACAUCUACCGGGUGUGGGAACUCACCCAGCGCAUCCGACUGCACGGACAAUGCUGAGGAGACCCCCCUGACUCAAAGGAAAUAGACUGCAGCACUGAUUGGAUGACUUUGGGUAAGUGGUGGGGUACCCAGGUAAAGAAUGGGAUUGGGAUAGACGCUCAAGUUAGGGGAGUUAGAGUCUCUCCUAAGGCAGAGUGGAUUAGAGGCCCCUCUUAAUAAAAGGCAAGGACGCUUGACUGACCUUGGGUUAGAGGCCCAACUUAGGAGGAUUAGAGUCCCUUCUAAGAUUUAGGGGGUUAGAGACCCCUCUCAGUAAAGUCCCUCUUGGCUAAGAAGAGGUUUGGCACCGUGGGAUGUUAACUGCUAUUGUCUUUGGAUUAAUCUGCCUUGCACUCUUUGCUGAUGGCUCCGGGCGACAGGGUUAGGCGUGUACAGGAUCGUGGGACAUGGGGAGCUUUUUCCUCCCCCAAAAGGGGAAACUUGAGAGCUGACGGGACUGCUGGAAAAAAAUCCCUUCACGACAGCAGCCGUAGCCGCCUGAACUUUUCAGUGUCACUGCAAUGGGUGGGUCUUUCUCUGGCCUCCCUGAUCAUUUUGCCUUCCCUGGGAAAGUAUUGCUUGUGGAAAAUAUUUCCUGGGAAAGUAUUGCCUGCGAAA